UAUUUCCACAAGGGGAGCUGCAGAUUGUGGCUGAGAGUGAACGUUUGAGUUCUAACCCUAUGAACCUGUUAGUUAACACUAGCGUAGGGAUGUGGUUGCUGAUAUGA
This 107-nucleotide non-coding RNA is filed under the name Bacillus sp. (in: firmicutes). RNAcentral's name for it is "Bacillus sp. TPP sequence". It matches the Rfam family "TPP riboswitch aptamer (THI element)". Rfam says of the family: Vitamin B(1) in its active form thiamin pyrophosphate (TPP) is an essential coenzyme that is synthesised by coupling of pyrimidine and thiazole moieties in bacteria. The record is from RNAcentral. Lineage: Bacteria; Bacillati; Bacillota; Bacilli; Caryophanales; Bacillaceae. RNAcentral also lists the same sequence under 1 other name.